UGGGGAAUAUUGCACAAUGGGCGCAAGCCUGAUGCAGCCAUGCCGCGUGUGUGAAGAAGGCCUUCGGGUUGUAAAGCACUUUCAGCGGGGAGGAAGGCGAUAAGGUUAAUAACCUUGUCGAUUGACGUUACCCGCAGAAGAAGAACCGGCUAACUCCGUGCCAGCAGCCGCGGUAAUACGGAGGGUGCAAGCGUUAAUCGGAAUUACUGGGCGUAAAGCGCACGCAGGCGGUCUGUCAAGUCGGAUGUGAAAUCCCCGGGCUUAACCUGGGAACUGCAUUCGAAACUGGCAGGCUAGAGUCUUGUAGAGGGGGGUAGAAUUCCAGGUGUAGCGGUGAAAUGCGUAGAGAUCUGGAGGAAUACCGGUGGCGAAGGCGGCCCCCUGGACAAAGACUGACGCUCAGGUGCGAAAGCGUGGGGAGCAAACAGG
Molecule: ribosomal RNA, 429 nt
Filed under: Chloroflexota bacterium
Lineage: Bacteria; Bacillati; Chloroflexota
Description: Chloroflexi bacterium partial 16S ribosomal RNA
Rfam family: Bacterial small subunit ribosomal RNA
Source: RNAcentral